UCGAGGAUCUUCGGCAAUGGGCGCAAGCCUGACCGAGCGACGCCGCGUGCGGGAUGAAGGCCUUCGGGUUGUAAACCGCUUUAGGAGGGGAGGAAAGCCGCAAGGUCUGACCUAUCCUCAAAAUAAGCACGGGCUAAGUUCGUGCCAGCAGCCGCGGUAAGACGAACCGUGCAAACGUUGUUCGGAAUCACUGGGCUUAAAGGGUGUGUAGGCGGUUCGCCAAGUCAGGGGUGAAAUCUUUCGGCUCAACCGGAAAAUGGCCUCUGAUACUGGCGGGCUAGAGGGGGGUAGGGGCUGCGGGAACUACCAGUGGAGCGGUGAAAUGCGUUGAUAUUGGUAGGAACGCCGGUGGCGAAAGCGCGCAGCUGGACCCCUUCUGACGCUGAAACACGAAAGCUAGGGGAGCAAACGG
Molecule: ribosomal RNA, 412 nt
Filed under: uncultured bacterium
Lineage: Bacteria
Description: bacterial SSU rRNA
Rfam family: Bacterial small subunit ribosomal RNA
Source: RNAcentral